Molecule: ribosomal RNA, 270 nt
Filed under: uncultured bacterium
Lineage: Bacteria
Description: partial 16S ribosomal RNA
Rfam family: Bacterial small subunit ribosomal RNA
Source: RNAcentral
CCGGCGACCGGCGCACGGGUGAGUAACACGUAUGCAACCUGGCCGUGACAGAUGGAUAACCGGGAGAAAUCCCGCCUAAUACAACAUAAUGCCGGGAGGGGACAUCCCCUGCCGGCCAAAGGGGGCGACCCAGGUCACGGAUGGGCAUGCGGCGCAUUAGGUAGUUGGUGGGGCAACGGCCCACCAAGCCGACGAUGCGUAGGGGUUCUGAGAGGAAGGUCCCCCACAUUGGAACUGAGACACGGUCCAAACUCCUACGGGAGGCAGCAG